RNAcentral lists this ribosomal RNA (377 nucleotides) under Mimosestes obscuriceps. Its description in RNAcentral is "partial 12S ribosomal RNA". Lineage: Eukaryota; Metazoa; Arthropoda; Insecta; Coleoptera; Chrysomelidae. The record is from RNAcentral.
AUCUUUCUAGAUACACUUUCCAGUACAUCUACUUUGUUACGACUUAUUUCAUUUUAAAAUGAAAGCGACGGGCGAUAUGUACAUAUUUUAGAGCUAAAAUCAUUUUAAAUAAAUUUAUUAAAAUUACAUUCAAAUCCAUAUUCAAAUUUUUAUAAUAAAAAUUAUCCUUAAAUAAAUUAAAUGUAACCCACCUCUUCUUUAAUAUAAAACUACACCUUGAUCUGAUUUAUUUUUUAAUAAAAAUUCUUGAAUAUUUAAAUUCUUAUAAAAUAUUCAAACUACGACGAUAUGUAAAUUAAUAAUUAAAGUAAAUUUUAUCGUGGACUAUCAAUUAUAGGGCAGGUUCCUCUGAAAAGACUAAAAUACCGCCAAAUUUU